GCCCGGUUGGAGGAACUGGUCAGACUCGCGGCACUCAAAAUGCCGUGCCCUAGGGCAUGUGGGUUCGAAUCCCACACCGGGCACCA
RNAcentral lists this transfer RNA (86 nucleotides) under Streptomyces xantholiticus. RNAcentral describes it as "tRNA-Leu". It matches the Rfam family "tRNA". From Rfam's summary of the family: Transfer RNA (tRNA) molecules are approximately 80 nucleotides in length. Their secondary structure includes four short double-helical elements and three loops (D, anti-codon, and T loops). RNAcentral also lists the same sequence under 1 other name. Lineage: Bacteria; Bacillati; Actinomycetota; Actinomycetes; Kitasatosporales; Streptomycetaceae. The record is from RNAcentral.